This 583-nucleotide ribosomal RNA is filed under the name uncultured bacterium. RNAcentral's name for it is "bacterial SSU rRNA". It matches the Rfam family "Bacterial small subunit ribosomal RNA", at positions 102 to 671 of the family's 1533-position model. The record is from RNAcentral.
ACGGGUGAGUAACACGUGGGCAACCUGCCCUUGAGACUGGGAUAACUUCGGGAAACCGGAGCUAAUACCGGAUAAUAUAAGGAACCUCCUGGUUCCUUGUUGAAAGAUGGUUUCGGCUAUCACUUAAGGAUGGGCCCGCGGCGCAUUAGCUAGUUGGUGAGGUAACGGCUCACCAAGGCGACGAUGCGUAGCCGACCUGAGAGGGUGAUCGGCCACACUGGGACUGAGACACGGCCCAGACUCCUACGGGAGGCAGCAGUAGGGAAUCUUCCACAAUGGACGAAAGUCUGAUGGAGCAACGCCGCGUGAGUGAUGAAGGCCUUCGGGUCGUAAAGCUCUGUUGUUAGGGAAGAACAAGUGCGAGAGUAACUGCUCGCACCUUGACGGUACCUAACCAGAAAGCCACGGCUAACUACGUGCCAGCAGCCGCGGUAAUACGUAGGUGGCAAGCGUUAUCCGGAAUUAUUGGGCGUAAAGCGCGCGCAGGUGGUUUCUUAAGUCUGAUGCGAAAGCCCACGGCUCAACCGUGGAGGGUCAUUGGAAACUGGGGAACUUGAGUGCAGAAGAGGAAAGUGGAAUUCCA